RNAcentral lists this long non-coding RNA (1132 nucleotides) under Chrysemys picta bellii (western painted turtle). RNAcentral describes it as "lncRNA (ENSCPBG00000007255.1)". Lineage: Eukaryota; Metazoa; Chordata; Testudines; Emydidae. The record is from RNAcentral.
ACUAUGCCCAGUAGUACUGGAUGAAUGAUACUAAGCAAUAGAAGAAUAAGAUUAUGCCAGGCUGGGGAAGACGCUCAAGGAGAUAGAGGCUCAGAUUAUCUUUAGUGGGAUUCUGCCCGUUCCGAGGGAAGGGCAGCAAAGGGCUGAUAGGAUUGUGAGAAUAAAUAGUUGGCUAAGGGAGUGGUGCUAUAAGGAGGGCUUUGGGAUGUAUAGCCACUGGGAGGCUUUCGGGGACAGACACCUGUUCUCACGGGAUGGGCUUCACCUGAGUAGGGAAGGAAAUAGACUUCUGGGAGGGAGGCUGGCUCAUCUAAUCAAAAGAGCUUUAAAACUAGGAAGUUUGGGGAGACGGUUGGGAGAUGCACGGUUAAUCUCCACGCCAGAUUCCAGUAUGGAAAAGGUGAGUAAAAUGAGAGGAGACAUAGCCGGGGAGAUGAGAUUGGACAUAGGAAGGACAGGGGGGAUGGACACAAGGAGGCCCGCAACAUAUAGUGCUACUAAUGGGAGACAGGCUAAACGAGAUACAUUAGGGUGUUUAUACACCAAUGCCAGAAGCCAAGGUAAUAAAAUGGAGGAAUUGGAGCUCUUGGUCCAAGAACUGAAACCAGAUAUCGUAGGAAUAACGGAAACGUGGUGGAAUGGCAGUCACGACUGGAACACAGGUAUGGAGGGGUAUGCGCUGUUUAGGAAAGACCGGAACAAAGGUAAAGGCGGAGGGGUGGCAUUGUAUGUCAAUAGUGAAAUAAGCUGUAAAGAAAUAAUAGUUGAUGGAUUAGAUAACACAGAGUCCAUCUGGGCAAUACUCACACUGGGUAAUAGGACUACUAGAGCCUCUCCGGGGAUAGUGCUUGGAGUGUGCUAUAGACCGCCGGGAUCGACCCAGGAUAUGGAUAAGGAACUAUUUAAUGUGUUUAGAGAAGUAAUUACUAAUAGAAACUGUGUAAUUAUGGGGGACUUUAACUUCCCGGAUAUAGAUUGGGGAACAAAGGCUAGUAGCAAUAAUAGAGCUCACAUUUUCCUCGAUAUGCUUGCUGAUCAAUUCCUCCAUCAAGUGGUAGCUGAACCGACGAGGGGGGAGGCCAUUUUAGAUUUAGUUACAAGAUGGGGACGCAUUGGUUAGAAGUAACGGANN